This 619-nucleotide ribosomal RNA is filed under the name uncultured bacterium. Its description in RNAcentral is "bacterial SSU rRNA". It matches the Rfam family "Bacterial small subunit ribosomal RNA", at positions 101 to 712 of the family's 1533-position model. The record is from RNAcentral.
AACGGGUGAGUAAUAUAUCGGAACGUACCCUGGAGUGGGGGAUAACGUAGCGAAAGUUACGCUAAUACCGCAUACGAUCUAAGGAUGAAAGUGGGGGAUCGCAAGACCUCAUGCUCCUGGAGCGGCCGAUAUCUGAUUAGCUAGUUGGUGGGGUAAAGGCCUACCAAGGCAUCGAUCAGUAGCUGGUCUGAGAGGACGACCAGCCACACUGGAACUGAGACACGGUCCAGACUCCUACGGGAGGCAGCAGUGGGGAAUUUUGGACAAUGGGCGCAAGCCUGAUCCAGCAAUGCCGCGUGAGUGAAGAAGGCCUUCGGGUUGUAAAGCUCUUUUGUCAGGGAAGAAACGGUGAUUUCUAAUACAGAUUGCUAAUGACGGUACCUGAAGAAUAAGCACCGGCUAACUACGUGCCAGCAGCCGCGGUAAUACGUAGGGUGCAAGCGUUAAUCGGAAUUACUGGGCGUAAAGCGUGCGCAGGCGGUUUUGUAAGUCUGUCGUGAAAUCCCCGGGCUCAACCUGGGAAUGGCGAUGGAGACUGCAAGGCUAGAGUUUGGCAGAGGGGGGUAGAAAUUCCACGUGUAGCAGUGAAAUGCGUCAGCAUAUGUGGGAGGAACACCGA